GAUGAACGCUAGCUACAGGCUUAACACAUGCAAGUCGAGGGGCAGCAUUAUCGAAGCUUGCUUUGAUAGAUGGCGACCGGCGCACGGGUGAGUAACGCGUAUCCAACCUUCCCCAUAGUCAGGAAUAGCCCGGCGAAAGUCGAAUUAAUGCCUGAUGUUUUCCACGGACGGCAUCCGAUGUGGAACAAAGAUUCAUCGCUAUGGGAUGGGGAUGCGUCUGAUUAGCUUGUUGGCGGGGUAACGGCCCACCAAGGCAACGAUCAGUAGGGGUUCUGAGAGGAAGGUCCCCCACAUUGGAACUGAGACACGGUCCAAACUCCUACGGGAGGCAGCAGUGAGGAAUAUUGGUCAAUGGACGGAAGCCUGAACCAGCCAAGUAGCGUGAGGGAUGACUGCCCUAUGGGUUGUAAACCUCUUUUAUAAGGGAAUAAAAUACGGGACGUGUCCUGUUUUGCAUGUACCUUAUGAAUAAGGACCGGCUAAUUCCGUGCCAGCAGCCGUGGUAAUACGGAAGGUCCGGGCGUUAUCCGGAUUUAUUGGGUUUAAAGGGAGCGCAGGCGGUCUUAUAAGCGUGACGUGAAAUGCAGCGGCUCAACCGUAUGAUGUGCGUCGCGAACUGUGAGACUUGAGUGUAUUCGAUGUCAGCGGAAUUUGUGGUGUAGCGGUGAAAUGCUUAGAUAUCACGAAGAACUCCGAUUGCGAAGGCAGCUGACAAGGCUACAACUGACGCUAAAGCUCGAAAGUGCGGGUAUCGAACAGG
Molecule: ribosomal RNA, 760 nt
Filed under: uncultured bacterium
Lineage: Bacteria
Description: bacterial SSU rRNA
Rfam family: Bacterial small subunit ribosomal RNA
Source: RNAcentral